GUCUAUCAUUAUGCCAUCCUGAGCAAGCCUGAUCCCGUCUGAUCUCGGAAGCUAAGCAGGGUCCGGCCUGGUUAGUACUUGGAUGGGAGACCACCGAGGAAGACCAGGUGCUAUAGGCG
RNAcentral lists this ribosomal RNA (119 nucleotides) under Pteropus alecto (black flying fox). The record is from RNAcentral. Lineage: Eukaryota; Metazoa; Chordata; Mammalia; Chiroptera; Pteropodidae.